UUGACCUCAAAUCAGGUAGGACUACCCGCUGAACUUAAGCAUAUCAAUAAGCGGAGGAAAAGAAACUAACAAGGAUUCCCCUAGUAACUGCGAGUGAAGCGGGAAAAGCUCAAAUUUAAAAUCUGGUGGUCUUUGGCCAUCCGAGUUGUAAUCUAGAGAAGUGUUAUCCGCGCUGGACCGUGUACAAGUCUCCUGGAAUGGAGCGUCAUAGAGGGUGAGAAUCCCGUCUUUGACACGGACUGCCAGGGCUUUGUGAUGCGCUCUCAAAGAGUCGAGUUGUUUGGGAAUGCAGCUCAAAAUGGGUGGUAAAUUCCAUCUAAAGCUAAAUAUUGGCGAGAGACCGAUAGCGAACAAGUACCGUGAGGGAAAGAUGAAAAGAACUUUGGAAAGAGAGUUAAACAGUACGUGAAAUUGCUGAAAGGGAAACGCUUGAAGUCAGYCGCGUUGUCCGGGAAUCAACCUUGCUUUUGCUGGGCGUACUUCCCGGUUGACGGGUCAGCAUCAAUUUUGACCGUUGGAUAAAGUCUAGGGGAAUGUGGCAUCUUCGGAUGUGUUAUAGCCCUUGGUCGCAUACAACGAUUGGGAUUGAGGAACUCAGCACGCCGCAAGGCCGGGUAUUCGUACCACGUUCGUGCUUAGGAUGCUGGCAUAAUGGCUUUAAUCGACCCGUC
Molecule: ribosomal RNA, 671 nt
Filed under: Galerina stylifera
Lineage: Eukaryota; Fungi; Basidiomycota; Agaricomycetes; Agaricales; Galerinaceae
Also listed under: 1 other name
Description: eukaryotic LSU rRNA
Rfam family: Eukaryotic large subunit ribosomal RNA
Source: RNAcentral